UGGGGAAUUUUGCACAAUGGGGGAAACCCUGAUGCAGCGACGCCGCGUGAUUUAGAAGGCCUUCGGGUUGUAAAAAUCUUUUCUAUGGGAAGAAAAUGACAGUACCAUAGGAAUAAGGACCGGCUAAUUACGUGCCAGCAGCCGCGGUAAUACGUAAGGUCCGAGCGUUGUCCGGAAUCAUUGGGCGUAAAGGGUACUUAGGCGGGUAAGCAAGUUAGAAGUGAAAUCCUAUAGCUCAACUAUAGUAAGCUUUUAAAACUGCUAAUCUUGAGGUAUGGAAGAGAAAGUGGAAUUCCUAGUGUAGCGGUGAAAUGCGCAGAUAUUAGGAGGAAUACCGGUGGCGAAGGCGACUUUCUGGCCAUAACCUGACGCUGAGGUACGAAAGCGUGGGUAGCAAACAGG
Molecule: ribosomal RNA, 402 nt
Filed under: bacterium
Lineage: Bacteria
Description: partial 16S ribosomal RNA
Rfam family: Bacterial small subunit ribosomal RNA
Source: RNAcentral